AUUGGAAGUAAAAAAUCGUAACAAGGUCUCCGUUGGUGAACCAGCGGAGGGAUCAUUACCGAGUUUACAACUCCCAAACCCAAUGUGAACGUUACCAAUCUGUUGCCUCGGCGGGAUUCUCUGCCCCGGGCGCGUCGCAGCCCCGGAUCCCAUGGCGCCCGCCGGAGGACCAACUCAAACUCUUUUUUCUCUCCGUCGCGGCCUACGUCGCGGCUCUGUUUUAUUUUUGCUCUGAGCCUUUCUCGGCGACCCUAGCGGGCGUCUCGAAAAUGAAUCAAAACUUUCAACAACGGAUCUCUUGGUUCUGGCAUCGAUGAAGAACGCAGCGAAAUGCGAUAAGUAAUGUGAAUUGCAGAAUUCAGUGAAUCAUCGAAUCUUUGAACGCACAUUGCGCCCGCCAGUAUUCUGGCGGGCAUGCCUGUCCGAGCGUCAUUUCAACCCUCGAACCCCUCCGGGGGGUCGGCGUUGGGGAUCGGCCCCUCACCGGGCCGCCCCCGAAAUACAGUGGCGGUCUCGCCGCAGCCUCUCCUGCGCAGUAGUUUGCACACUCGCACCGGGAGCGCGGCGCGGCCACAGCCGUAAAACACCCCAAACUCUGAAAUGUUGACCUCGGAUCAGGUAGGAAUACCCGCUGAACUUAAGCAUAUCAAAAGGCCGGAGGAA
Molecule: ribosomal RNA, 663 nt
Filed under: uncultured fungus
Lineage: Eukaryota; Fungi
Description: eukaryotic LSU rRNA
Rfam family: 5.8S ribosomal RNA (bases 279-432)
Source: RNAcentral